This 253-nucleotide ribosomal RNA is filed under the name uncultured bacterium. RNAcentral describes it as "partial 16S ribosomal RNA". It matches the Rfam family "Bacterial small subunit ribosomal RNA", at positions 524 to 776 of the family's 1533-position model. The record is from RNAcentral.
UACGAAGGGGGCGAGCGUUGUUCGGAUUUACUGGGCGUAAAGGGCGCGCAGGCGGCCGCUCAAGUCAGGCGUGAAAGCCCCGGGCUUAACCUGGGAACUGCGUCUGGGACUGAGUGGCUAGAGUUCGGGAGAGGAGAGUGGAAUUCCCAGUGUAGAGGUGAAAUUCGUAGAUAUUGGGAAGAACACCGGUGGCGAAGGCGGCAUCCUGGACCGGCAUUGACGCUGAGGAGCGAAAGCCAGGGGAGCAAACGGG